This 152-nucleotide microRNA precursor is filed under the name Nelumbo nucifera (sacred lotus). RNAcentral's name for it is "MIR396 microRNA precursor family". It matches the Rfam family "MIR396 microRNA precursor family". Lineage: Eukaryota; Viridiplantae; Streptophyta; Magnoliopsida; Proteales; Nelumbonaceae. The record is from Rfam by way of RNAcentral.
CUACAUGCUUUUCCACGGCUUUCUUGAACUUAGUACUCAGGUCGGUUUCUCUCUCUCUCUCUCUCUCUCUCUAUGUCUCAAGCAAAUGAAAGCAAAGUACAUCGACCACAUCUCAGUACAAAGCUCAAGAAAGCUGUGGGAAAACAUGAAAA